RNAcentral lists this ribosomal RNA (500 nucleotides) under uncultured bacterium. RNAcentral describes it as "partial 16S ribosomal RNA". It matches the Rfam family "Bacterial small subunit ribosomal RNA", at positions 30 to 523 of the family's 1533-position model. The record is from RNAcentral.
AUUGAACGCUGGCGGAAUGCUUUACACAUGCAAGUCGAACGGCAGCACGGACUUCGGUCUGGUGGCGAGUGGCGAACGGGUGAGGAAUACAUCGGAACGUGCCCAAUCGUGGGGGAUAACGUAGCGAAAGCUACGCUAAUACCGCAUACGAUCUAAGGAAGAAAGCGGGGGAUCGCAACACCUCGCGCGAUUGGGCAGGCCGAUGGCCGAUGAUGUAGUUGGUAGGGGAAAGGCCUACCAAGCCGACGAGCUGUAGCUGGUCUGGGAGGAUGAGCAGCCACACUGGGACUGAGACACGGCCCAGACUCCUACGGGAGGCAGCAGUGGGGAAUUUUGGACAAUGGACGCAAGGCUGAUCCAGCCAUUCCGCGUGCAGGAUGAAGGCCCUCGGGUUGUAAACUGCUUUUGUACAGAACGAAAAGGCUCUGGUUAAUACCUAGGGCUCAUGACGGUACUGUAAGAAUAAGCACCGGCUAACUACGUGCCAGCCGCCGCCGUAA